RNAcentral lists this transfer RNA (73 nucleotides) under Hymenobacter edaphi. RNAcentral describes it as "Hymenobacter sp. NL tRNA-Arg". It matches the Rfam family "tRNA". Rfam says of the family: Transfer RNA (tRNA) molecules are approximately 80 nucleotides in length. Their secondary structure includes four short double-helical elements and three loops (D, anti-codon, and T loops). Lineage: Bacteria; Pseudomonadati; Bacteroidota; Cytophagia; Cytophagales; Hymenobacteraceae. The record is from RNAcentral.
UCUGGUAUAGCUCAGUGGAAGAGCGCCCGGCUCGCUUUCCGGGUGGACGCCGGUUCGAGCCCGGCUGCCAGAG